UAAUAAAUUAAGAUCAACGUGU
This 22-nucleotide microRNA is filed under the name Schistosoma japonicum. Its description in RNAcentral is "miRNA-3066". Lineage: Eukaryota; Metazoa; Platyhelminthes; Trematoda; Strigeidida; Schistosomatidae. The record is from RNAcentral.